Molecule: ribosomal RNA, 165 nt
Filed under: uncultured bacterium
Lineage: Bacteria
Description: partial 16S rRNA
Rfam family: Bacterial small subunit ribosomal RNA
Source: RNAcentral
UAGGGAAUCUUCGGCAAUGGACGAAAGUCAGACCGAGCAACGCCGCGUGAGUGAAGAAGGUUUUCGGAUCGCAAAACUCUGUUGGUAGAGAAGAACGUUGGUGAGAGUGGAAAGCUCAUCAAGUGACGGUAACUACCCAGAAAGGGACGGCUAACUACGUGCCAG